This is a long non-coding RNA of Solanum dulcamara, 2169 nucleotides long. RefSeq lists it as uncharacterized. The record is from RefSeq and is a predicted model, not a curated record. The transcript is spliced from 13 exons. NCBI's taxonomy places the organism in Eukaryota, Viridiplantae, Streptophyta, Magnoliopsida, Solanales, Solanaceae.
CAGACACCACCUGCCCAUAUUAGAACUCAAGUGCAACCGGAACUUCAUACGCUACCGGCGCAUCUUAGCGUACUCCACCAGUGCUGCUCUUAACUGUUCCGGUGACGAUGAUCGAUCAAAACCAUAAACCCUAAAUCAAUUUUCCCGUCGAUCUAUUUAUUGGUAUUCUACUGCUCUUCCCCAUUAUCUUGAUAUUCUUCCAUCCAUUAAAAAGAAGAAGGAAAAUUCAAGAACUCGAUAUUGCAUGUUGAUUUUUUAAGAAAAGUUCAAGAAGGAAAAUUCAAGAACUCGAUAUGGCAUGUUGAAUUUUUAAGAAAGUUUCAAGAACUCCACCGGAUUGCUGCUAUUAAUUAUCCCAUUGACGAUGUCCGAUCAAAACCCUAAAUCAAUUUUACCGCCGUUCUAUCUGCUCAAGGAAAUGGGGAGCAUUAAGUGAAUACCUGAGGCUAUUUGGAGUUCAAUUCGAUUAGGGGUUAUCUUGUUGUUGAGGAGUUGGUUUCCAACAGCCUUGAAGCUGGUGCCACCAAGUUUUAAUCAUUUAGACUAAUUGCACCUGCAAAUUUGUGUGUUGCUUGCACAGAAGGCAGAGACCGGCUUGCUUUACACCAGUGACAUCAAAAUACAGCCGUUCAGAUGAUAUGUAUGCUUUCCCAGCAAGCUUUUGCUUUAAACGAGAGGCUCUGAGCUCUAUUUGUGAGGUUUCUUUGUUGGAUAUUGUUACCAAAACUCAUGGGAGGCCAAAUGGAUAUCCAAGUGUUUGUACCUUGGAAUUGAUGAUUGUAGACAAAAUGUUGGUACAACAGUCAUUGUUCAUGACGUAUUUUACAACCAACCAGAUCGAAGGAAGCAAAUGCACUCCAAGUACUUCUAGUUUUCUCAAAAUCAAACAAUCCAAAGAGAGUUUUCAUUCUCUAAAAGAGUCUUUUCUAAGAAUCGGCCUUGCGCAUCCCAGUGUCUCCUUCAAAAUUGUUUAUAUCGAAAGUGAGGAUGACCUGCUUUGCACACGUGUUUCUCCUUCUCCUUGCCUUUGUUGUCCAGUGGGUUUGGGAUGCGUCUGAGUUCCUUUAACAAAUUGAAUGCAAGCGUUGGUGCAUUCAAGCUUUUAGGAUACAUCUCAGGUCCUGAUGUUUACACAGUGAAGGAUUGGCACCCCGUCCUUCUCUUUUUUGAGGAUAUUGUCGCGAACCUCAGAACUGGAAGUGACUCUGUCGAGAGGAUAUGGCCAGUGUAGGGGGACUUGAUCCUCCAUGGGAUGUUUAUGGUUCAGGUCCUUCUGAUUUCUACUAUGAUGGAGAUGAUUUGACACAUGCAUUCUCAUGGUGAAGAGAGUCUUAAGAACUAUUUGAUACCACGAACUAUGCCCUCCUCUAGGGUGGAUGGAAACUCACAUAAAAGGAUUGAUACUGGAAAUCGAGGUAAAACAGAAGAGCUUAUAAGGAAGAAGAUGAGUAAAAGAAGUCACUGCUCCUCCAUUUUACCGAGGCAAGAAGAAGUUCUUUGCCACGAGUGAGUCUACAAGAAAGGCAACAGUAAAUAAGAAUAUUAAGACAGUUCAUGAUGUGCCACUCUUGCCAGAAACUAGAGCUGCAAGGAGACUGCUUCAUUCUGCAGAAGCUAUCUGCUUGGAACUUCCACAUCAGUCAUACCAUCACUGCGAUCAAUCUUUAAUCCCAAGUUGUGGUGAUGGUGUAUUCUCUGAUGAAACGCCAAGUGUGAAAAUGAAGCUUGAUAACAUCUGGAAUAACAAAUUACAAGCUCAAGGGGAGUGCACGAGUACACGUGAUGGGGAGUCAAAAGAAGAGUACUAUAUAAACAAACGUUCUGGGAAAUGGAUAAAGCAAAAGCUCAGAAGGGAAAGAAUGAGAGGCUACAGGGAUCUGAGGGUUUUUGUUCCAAGGGUGGUUGCUUCUCACUGAAUUAACCAAUGAUUUCUCCAUUACUGUCUCCUAUUUUGUACCUGAUUUGUUGCACUUGAGCCGAGGGUCUUUCAGAAACAACCUCUCUGCCUCCACAAGCUAGUGGUAAGGUCUGCGUACAUUCUACUCUCCCCAGACCUCACUUGUGCGAUUUCAGUGGGUAUGUUGUUGUGUUGUUGUACUUCAUCACCUGAAGUUGUACUUUCUUUUGAAUGAUCUGGUGUCUCACGAGAUGGACUGAUGCUGGGAGAAA